Long non-coding RNA from Oncorhynchus mykiss (rainbow trout), 2583 nucleotides. NCBI's taxonomy places the organism in Eukaryota, Metazoa, Chordata, Actinopteri, Salmoniformes, Salmonidae. The record is from Ensembl.
AUGGUUUACAGAGAGAGAGAGAGACAGAGAGCGAGAGAGAGCGAGAGAGAAAGAGAAAGAGAGAAUGAAAGACAGAGAAAGGGAAAGCGAGAGAGAGAGAAUGAAAGAGAGAGAUUGUGUUACAGUAAUGCAGACUUUUCUCUCCAUUUUAUCUAUCUGCUGCUUGUUUAUUCCUCCCUGCUGCAUCCCUCUCUUCCUCUCUCCACUCCUCUCUCUAUCUACAUCCCUCUCUUCCUCUCUCCACUCCUCUCUCUAUCUACAUCCCUCUCUUCCUCCCUCCACUCCUCUCUCUGUCUACAUCCCUCUCUUCCUCCUUCCACUCCUCUCUCUAUCUACAUCCCUCUCUUCCUCUCUCCACUCCUCUCUCUAUCUACAUCCCUCUCUUCCUCCCUCUACUCCUCUCUCUAUCUACAUCCCUCUCUUCCUCUCUCCACUCCUCUCUCUAUCUACAUCCCUCUCUUCCUCUCUCCACUCCUCUCUCUAUCUACAUCCCUCUCUUCCUCCCUCUACUCCUCUCUCUAUCUACAUCCCUCUCUUCCUCUCUCCACUCCUCUCUCUAUCUACAUCCCUCUCUUCCUCUCUCCACUCCUCUCUCUAUCUACAUCCCUCUCUUCCUCUCUCUAUCUACAUCCCUCUCUUCCUCUCUCCACUCCUCUCUCUAUCUACAUCCAUCUCUUCCUCUCUCCACUCCUCUCUCUAUCUACAUCCCUCUCUUCCUCUCUCCACUCCUCUCUCUAUCUACAUCCCUCUCUUCCUCUCUCCACUCCUCUCUCUAUCUACAUCCCUCUCUUCCUCUCUCCACUCCUCUCUCUAUCUACAUCCCUCUCUUCCUCCUUCCACUCCUCUCUCUAUCUACAUCCCUCUCUUCCUCCCUCCACUCCUCUCUCUAUCUACAUCCCUCUCUUCCUCCUUCCACUCCUCUCUCUAUCUACAUCCCUCUCUUCCUCCCUCCACUCCUCUCUCUAUCUACACCCCUCUCUUCCUCCUUCCACUCCUCUCUCUAUCUACAUCCCUCUCUUCCUCUCUCUACUCCUCUCUCUAUCUUCCUCCCUCCACUCCUCUCUCUAUCUACAUCCCUCUCUUCCUCUCUCCACUCCUCUCUCUAUCUACAUCCCUCUCUUCCUCUCUCCACUCCUCUCUCUAUCUACAUCCCUCUCUUCCUCUCUCCACUCCUCUCUCUAUCUACAUCCCUCUCUUCCUCUCUCCACUCCUCUCUCUAUCUACAUCCCUCUCUUCCUCCUUCCACUCCUCUCUCUAUCUACAUCCCUCUCUUCCUCUCUCCACUCCUCUCUCUAUCUUCCUCCCUCCACUCCUCUCUCUAUCUACAUCCCUCUCUUCCUCUCUCCACUCCUCUCUCUAUCUACAUCCCUCUCUUCCUCUCUCCACUCCUCUCUCUAUCUACAUCCCUCUCUUCCUCUCUCCACUCCUCUCUCUAUCUACAUCCCUCUCUUCCUCUCUCCACUCCUCUCUCUAUCUACAUCCCUCUCUUCCUCCUUCCACUCCUCUCUCUAUCUACAUCCCUCUCUUCCUCUCUCCACUCCUCUCUCUAUCUUCCUCCCUCCACUCCUCUCUCUAUCUACAUCCCUCUCUUCCUCUCUCCACUCCUCUCUCUAUCUACAUCCCUCUCUUCCUCUCUCCACUCCUCUCUCUAUCUACAUCCCUCUCUUCCUCUCUCCACUCCUCUCUCUAUCUACAUCCCUCUCUUCCUCCCUCCACUCCUCUCUCUAUCUUCCUCCCUCCACUCCUCUCUCUAUCUACAUCCCUCUCUUCCUCCCUCUACUCCUCUCUCUAUCUACAUCCCUCUCUUCCUCCUUCCACUCCUCUCUCUAUCUUCAUCCCUCUCUUCCUCCCCCCCUCCUCUCUCUAUCUACAUCCCUCUCUUCCUCCCUCCACUCCUCUCUCUAUCUACAUCCCUCUCUUCCUCCCUCCACUCCUCUCUCUAUCUACAUCCUUCUCUUCCUCCCUCCACUCCUCUCUCUAUCUACAUCCCUCUCUUCCUCCCUCUGUCCCUCUCUCUAUCUACAUCCCUCUCUUCCUUCCUCUGUCCCUCUCUCUAUCUACAUCCCUCUCUUCCUCCCUCUGUCCCUCUCUCUAUCUACAUCCCUCUCUUCCUCCCUCCACUCCUCUCUCUAUCUACAUCCCUCUAUUCCUCCCUCCACUCCUCUCUCUAUCUACAUCCAUCUUCCUCCCUCUACUCCUCUCUCCAUCUCUCUCUCUAUCUACAUCCCUCUCUUCCUCCCUCCACUCCUCUCUCCAUCCCUCUCUCUAUCUACAUCCAUAUUCCUCCCUCCACUCCUCUCUCAUCCCUCUCUCUAUCUAUAUCCCUCUCUUCCUCUCUCAUCCCUCUCUCUAUCUACAUCCAUCUUCCUCCCUCCACUCCUCUCUCCAUCCCUCUCUCUAUCUACAUCCAUCUUCCUCUCUCCAUCCCUCUCUCUAUCUACAUCCAUCCUCCUCCCUUCACUCCUCUCUCAUCCCUCUCUAUCUACAUCCAUCUUCCUCCCUCCACUUCUCUCUCCAUCCCUCUCUCUAUCUACAUCCGCACCAGACACGGCAGGUGAGAUGGGUGAAACAGGUGGUGAAUGA